AAACCAGCACCUCAAGUGGUCAGGAUGAUUAUUGGGCCUAAAGCAUCCGUAGCCGGCUCUGUUAGUUUUCGGUUAAAUCUAUAUGCUCAACAUAUAGGCUGCCGGGAAUACUACAAAGCUAGGGAGUGGGAGAGGUAGACGGUACUCCGUAGGAAGGGGUAAAAUCCUUUGAUCUAUGGAUGACCACCUGUGGCGAAGGCGGUCUACCAGAACACGUCCGACGGUGAGGGAUGAAAGCUGGGGGAGCAAACCGGAUUAGAAACCCUAGUAGUCC
RNAcentral lists this ribosomal RNA (274 nucleotides) under uncultured bacterium. RNAcentral's name for it is "partial 16S ribosomal RNA". It matches the Rfam family "Archaeal small subunit ribosomal RNA", at positions 473 to 747 of the family's 1478-position model. The record is from RNAcentral.